RNAcentral lists this ribosomal RNA (347 nucleotides) under uncultured bacterium. Its description in RNAcentral is "partial 16S ribosomal RNA". It matches the Rfam family "Bacterial small subunit ribosomal RNA", at positions 338 to 682 of the family's 1533-position model. The record is from RNAcentral.
CCUACGUGCGGCAGCAGUGAGGAAUAUUGGUCAAUGGCCGUAAGGCUGCACCAGCCAAGUCGCGUGAAGGAAGAAGGAUCUAUGGUUUGUAAACUUCAUUUAUAGGGGAAUAAAGGUAUCCACGUGUGGAAAUAUGCAUGUACCCUAUGAAUAAGCAUAGGCUAACGCCGUGCCAGCAGCCGCGGUAAUACGGAGGAUGCGAGCGUUAUCCGGAUUUAUUGGGUUUAAAGGGUGCGUAGGUUGUUUUUUAAGUCAGUGGUGAAAGUUUGUGGCUCAACCAUAAAAUUGCCGUUGAAACUGGAAGACUUGAGUGUGUUUGAGGUAGGCGGAAUGCGUGGUGUAGCGGU